CAGCAGCCGCGGGAAUACGUAGGGUGCGAGCGUUAAUCGGAAUUACUGGGCGUAAAGCGUGCGCAGGCGGUUGUGUAAGACAGGUGUGAAAUCCCCGGGCUUAACCUGGGAACUGCGCUUGUGACUGCACAGCUAGAGUAUGGCAGAGGGGGGUGGAAUUCCACGUGUAGCAGUGAAAUGCGUAGAUAUGCGGAGGAACACCGAUGGCGAAGGCAAUCCCCUGGGCCUGCACUGACGCUCAUGCACGAAAGCGUGGGGAGCGAACAGGAUUAGAUACCCGGGUAGUCCCUGUCUCUUAUAC
Molecule: ribosomal RNA, 301 nt
Filed under: uncultured bacterium
Lineage: Bacteria
Description: partial 16S ribosomal RNA
Rfam family: Bacterial small subunit ribosomal RNA
Source: RNAcentral